UCCACGCCGUAAACGAUGUCAACUAGAUGUUGGGGGGUUUAACCCUUUAGUAUCGCAGCUAACGCAUUAAGUUGACCGCCUGGGGGAGUACGGCCGCAAAGGUUAAAAACUCAAAGGAAUUGACGGGGGCCCGCACAAGCGGUGGAGCAUGUGGUUUAAUUCGAUGCAACGCGAAGAACCUUACCUGCCCUUGACAUUGACAGAACCCUGGAGAGAUCCGGGGGUGCCCUUCG
This 233-nucleotide ribosomal RNA is filed under the name uncultured bacterium. Its description in RNAcentral is "partial 16S ribosomal RNA". It matches the Rfam family "Bacterial small subunit ribosomal RNA", at positions 794 to 1023 of the family's 1533-position model. The record is from RNAcentral.